UACGGAGGAUGCGAGCGUUAUUCGGAAUCAUUGGGUUUAAAGGGUCUGUAGGCGGGCUAUUAAGUCAGGGGUGAAAGGUUUCAGCUUAACUGAGAAAUUGCCUUUGAUACUGGUAGUCUUGAAUAUCUGUGAAGUUCUUGGAAUGUGUAGUGUAGCGGUGAAAUGCUUAGAUAUUACACAGAACACCGAUUGCGGAGGCAGGGGACUAACAGACGAUUGACGCUGAGAGACGAAAGCGUGGGGAGCGAACAGG
Molecule: ribosomal RNA, 253 nt
Filed under: uncultured bacterium
Lineage: Bacteria
Also listed under: 1 other name
Description: partial 16S ribosomal RNA
Rfam family: Bacterial small subunit ribosomal RNA
Source: RNAcentral